This 1350-nucleotide long non-coding RNA is filed under the name Brassica napus (rape). Its description in RNAcentral is "long non-coding RNA (BNAP_LNC012524)". Lineage: Eukaryota; Viridiplantae; Streptophyta; Magnoliopsida; Brassicales; Brassicaceae. The record is from RNAcentral.
AAUGAUAGUGGGGGUAGAUUUUGUGAAUACCUGCAUCCCUUGGAAGACGCUUAGCAAUACCUGGCGUAGUGAAAAUCAGGUAAGACAUUUCAAUAUGGGCUUUAUCUAAAUGUGAAUAUAUAUUUAUGCUCAGAUAUUUAAUUUGGUAUAGUAGUAUUGUCAUUUCAAUUUGGAAAACGUUGUGGAAAAUUUAAAACGAUGAUUUGAGAACUCAGUUUUAGUUCACAUUGUGUAUUAGUUCGGUUCUGUUAACCUGAUGUUUUAGUUGCCCGUAGCUUCAUCCUCAUUGCUCUAGCUUUCUUUGUGGUGGCUGCAAGGAUGAACAUAUUUGUUCUGUAAGAUAUGUGGGCCAUAAAAGGGUAGCAAGAAAUAUUAGUUUAUUCACUAAGUAACCUAUGUUUUCUCCUGUUUCUGUUGUGGAGUUUGUUGCACUGGAGCUGCCGAUGUUGUAUUCCUCGGGAAUCCGCAAAGCUGUCUUUGAUUUUGAGCAUGAAAGUGUUGUCGAGGUCUGGGCUCUACGUUGAUUUGCGGGAAGGGUAGGUGGAGUUGGAUUGAGUGUUUCUCUUGUUGAAUCUGUAUUUAGCGAACAGUUUAAUUAAGCUAUGGCAGUAUGUUUUAUCAAUUAAUUUUUGAGUAAGCUAACCUUGUAGACAUUGUAGCUGACCUUGAUUGAUGCGUUGUCUUUUUUUCAGUUGACAGAUGGACCGGCGUCUUGCUCUAGCUGAUUUUCCCAAGGACUCUGCAAAUGUUUCAGGAUCAAUGUAAAUAUAGGGUGGCGCUAGAAUGGAUUCUAAUAUUCUCAAACACACCUUCAGAAGCUACGGAAGGACUGCACGGCCGUGGAAUGUACUCGGUUCUUAACCAUGGUCGUCUGUCCAAAUGUUUAGCAACACCUGCAUAAGGUUGAUCUAUCGUUUUUAUUUUUGUUCCAUACAGCUUUUAAUACGAAAAUGGUUGUUUGGUAACAAAACCUGGCUCUUCAGUGAGCGUUUGUGACAGAGCAUGUGAGGGUUGGAGGCUGAAGCGUUGUGAUCGUCUGCUUGCCUUCACAGAACUUGAUCCUGGAUCCCCGGCGGUGCUGGGAUUUUUCUUCUUUCCCAUUUAAGUUUGUAUAUUUGGAGCUUGCGAAUAUCAGAGAUAUUUGAGUGAGGCCUGUAUGUACGUAGCUUGUAUCGGUGAGGGUCUGCUCAUAUGGUAGUAUCUACUUUCAUUUGGCUUUUUGUUUUCUAGGACAAUCGGUAUAGAUAGCUUUGGUUUUUUUUUUGGUAUGUCGAACAUUAAAGUCUUUUAUUAUUGGACUUAACGUAUUCUGAGUCGAAUCUUUGAUAACGGUUUUAUAAUUAAAGACGU